CAGUGGCGGACGGGUGCGUAACACGUGAGGAACAUGACUUUCGGCGGGGGAUAGCCGGCCCAACGGCCGGGUAAUACCGCGUACGACCUCUCGGGGACAUCCCCGGUUGGUGAAAGCAGCAAUGCACCGAAAGAGUGCCUCGCGGCCUAUCAGCUAGUUGGUGGGGUAACGGCUCACCAAGGCGACGACGGGUAGCUGGUCUGAGAGGAUGGCCAGCCACAUUGGGACUGAGACACGGCCCAGACUCCUACGGGAGGCAGCAGUGGGGAAUAUUGCGCAAUGGGCGAAAGCCUGACGCAGCGACGCCGCGUGUGGGAUGACGGCCUUCGGGUUGUAAACCACUGUCGGGAGGGACGAAUGCGCCGCAAGGCGAGUGGCGGUACCUCCAAAGGAAGCACCGGCUAACUCCGUGCCAGCAGCCGCGGUAAUACGGAGGGUGCGAGCGUUGUCCGGAAUCACUGGGCGUAAAGGGCGCGUAGGCGGCCUGAUAAGUAGGGGGUGAAAUCUUGCGGCUUAACCGCAAGGCUGCCUUCUAAACUGUCAGGCUAGAGCACAGUAGAGGCAGGUGGAAUUCCCGGUGUAGCGGUGGAAUGCGUAGAGAUCGGGAAGA
RNAcentral lists this ribosomal RNA (610 nucleotides) under uncultured Gemmatimonadota bacterium. RNAcentral describes it as "bacterial SSU rRNA". It matches the Rfam family "Bacterial small subunit ribosomal RNA", at positions 93 to 705 of the family's 1533-position model. Lineage: Bacteria; Pseudomonadati; Gemmatimonadota. The record is from RNAcentral.